CAGCCGCCGCGGUAAUACGAAGGGUGCAAGCGUUACUCGGAAUUACUGGGCGUAAAUCGUGCGUAGGUGGUUGUUUAAGUCUGCUGUGAAAGCCCUGGGCUCAACCUGGGAAUUGCAGUGGAUACUGGGCGACUAGAGUAAGGUAGAGGAUAGUGGAAUUUCCGGUGUAGCAGUGAAAUGCGUAGAGAUCGGAAGGAACAUCUGUGGCGAAGGCGACUAUCUGGGCCAUUACUGACACUGAGGCACGAAAGCGUGGGGAGCAAACAGGAUUAGAUACCCGCGUAGUCCCUGUCUCUUAUAC
This 301-nucleotide ribosomal RNA is filed under the name uncultured bacterium. Its description in RNAcentral is "partial 16S ribosomal RNA". It matches the Rfam family "Bacterial small subunit ribosomal RNA", at positions 509 to 807 of the family's 1533-position model. The record is from RNAcentral.